Molecule: long non-coding RNA, 1275 nt
Organism: Oncorhynchus tshawytscha (Chinook salmon)
Lineage: Eukaryota; Metazoa; Chordata; Actinopteri; Salmoniformes; Salmonidae
Source: Ensembl
CCCCCAACCACUCUCUCUUAUACACAUCUCUUUCUUGUACACAUUUCAUGACUCAUGGACUGUUGGACACUAUUUCACAGACUUAAAGGAAUGAAACAAUACUUUUGUGAAUGAAUCUGAAAGGAAAAGCUUUCAAUGCAAGUAUGGGCGUGCGUGUACUACCUGAAAUGUGUGGCUUUUAAAGAUUACGCAACAGCCUUUUUAAAGGCACUUUAAAAUCAGACUGGAUGUGGUUGCCUAGUGAGUGAGGAUGUCUAUUAGAAAUAGAGAGAUAUUAAAGUACAUUCAGAACAUGGUUAUAUUAUCAUUUAUAAACUGGGUGGUUAAAACCCUGAAUGCUGAUUGUCUGACAGCAGUGAUGUAUCAGACCAUAGACCACGCGUAUGACAAAACAUGUAUUUUUACUGCUCUAAUAACGCUGGUAACCAGUUUAUAAUAGCAAUAAGGCACCUCAGGAUUUUGUGGUAAAUGGCCAAUAUACCACGGCUAAGGCCUGUAUCCAGGCACACCGCAUUGCAUCGUGCCUAAGAACAGCUCUUAGCCGUGGUAUACUGGCCAUAUAUCACACCCCCAUGGGCCUUAUUGCUUAAUUAUACAUUACCUUCAUUUCGAUGUAAAUGUGCAAAAUACUGUUAUUCAAGCUACAUUCCAAAACGUCUGGUCUAUUUUAGUCUUGGAUGCCUAGGUGAAAGCCUGUGACAGAUGCUAGGUCUAUGGAAACCUGAUGUGAGAUCAUGUGAAACAGUAAAACUAAUAGCAAGCUAAUGGUAAGAUGUGUGCCUACCUGCCACAGGUAUUCACACAGAAAAAUAUCUGACACAGUAAUUACACAUUAAUUACUGGAGAGAGAAUACUUUAUCCCUACAUCGUAACCUGACAUAAACAGGAUCGAGCCAUACUGAUUUGGGUCAGAGCAUAGACACACAGGUCAAAACAAUGAUUAGUCUAACAUGCACAGAUAAAAGGAUUUCCACGUUAUGGCAAUGAUUUAUAUCCCUAUUUACCAUUUCUUUGUCCUUUUAAGCCUUGCAUUUUAGACACAGUUUGCUGUAAACAGCAUCAAUCACUUUAAAUUGAAUGCAUUUCAUUUCUAAUACAGGUACAGAAUAUUGACUAGACAUUGAGGCCCCUGUGGAAAAUGAAGAUCAUUCUGCCAAAGUGAUGUCACUGAUGCUCUGUGGCGACCGGACAAUGACCCAACACACCUCCAGGCUGUAUAAGGGCUAUUUGACCAAGAAGGAGAGUGAUGGUACUGCAUCAGAUGAUCUGGCCCCC